RNAcentral lists this signal recognition particle RNA (254 nucleotides) under pig gut metagenome. RNAcentral describes it as "Bacterial large signal recognition particle RNA". It matches the Rfam family "Bacterial large signal recognition particle RNA". Rfam says of the family: The signal recognition particle (SRP) is a universally conserved ribonucleoprotein involved in the co-translational targeting of proteins to membranes. The record is from RNAcentral.
GCCGGGGAGAUAGCGGUGCCCUGUACCUGCAAUCCGCUACAGCAGGGGUGAUGCCUUGCCCCGGACGCUUUGUUGCGAUGCCGGCUUUGAUAAGUGAUGUUGACGCUUUGGUCUUGCGCAACGGAAAUUCGUGAACCGUGUCAGGUCAGGAAUGGAGCAGCACUAAGCGAAACCUUCCGUGUGCCGUAAGGUUGCCGGAGCCGAGUUAACUGUCAGAGUAACGAUUGUGACGGGCGUUCAAAGCAGGGCGCACG